UCCGAUGUGGGACUUUUUGUGCAUAUGGUUUCGAUUUGGUUAGUUCGGUUAAGUAUUAGCUAUUGGAUUCUAGAGUACCAUAUCGGAUAAGUAAUUGAAAUAUGAAAACUUCAGACUAACAAUGACUGGUAGGGGCUGCGCGAACGCAAACCCCCUCUGCCACAAAUAAUAACGCAGGCUCUUCCUCAAGGGAAGACCUUAGGCAUAGCACCCCAACGGUAUGUGCAAUGCGGUCACUAGCCUAGGCCACUCGUCUUAUUGAUCGCGAGUUGACCCCGUCCAGGUAAGUAAUUUGCUUGAACAGUCCGCUUCUUUAUAUAUACUACUGCUUCACCAACCCAUGCUUUGGGUAUUAACCGAUGUGGGACUUUUGAAUAUCAACACAUCGUGCUGGAUGUUUUAGGCCCAAUCAAGUGCUUGAAACGACGAUAAACACGUUUUUUACAAACAGACAUAA
Arabidopsis thaliana (thale cress) is the source of this 457-nucleotide long non-coding RNA. RefSeq annotates it as other RNA. The transcript has a single exon. The record is from RefSeq. Lineage: Eukaryota; Viridiplantae; Streptophyta; Magnoliopsida; Brassicales; Brassicaceae.